GAGGAAUAUUGGUCAAUGGACGCAAGUCUGAACCAGCCACGUCGCGUGAAGGAAGACGGCCCUACGGGUUGUAAACUUCUUUUAUCCGGGAAUAAAGUGCCCCCCCGCGGGGGUUUUGCAGUAACCGUACGAAUAAGGAUCGCCUACCCCCGGCCAGCAGCCGCGGUAAUACGGAGGAUCCGAGCGUUAUCCGCAUUUAUUGGGUUUAAAGGGUGCUCAGGCGGGGGAUUAAGUCGGCGGUGAAAUUUUGCAGCUCAACUGUAAAAGUGCCUUCGAAACUGGUUUCCUUGAGUGCGGAUGAGGUAGGCGGAAUUUGUGGUGUAGCGGUGAAAUGCAUAGAUAUUACGAGGAACUCAGAUUGCGCAGGCAGCUUACCAAGCCGUAACUGACGCUCAAGCACGAACGCGUGGGGAUCAAACA
Molecule: ribosomal RNA, 420 nt
Filed under: uncultured Proteiniphilum sp.
Lineage: Bacteria; Pseudomonadati; Bacteroidota; Bacteroidia; Bacteroidales; Dysgonomonadaceae
Description: bacterial SSU rRNA
Rfam family: Bacterial small subunit ribosomal RNA
Source: RNAcentral